Molecule: ribosomal RNA, 245 nt
Filed under: uncultured Actinomycetales bacterium
Lineage: Bacteria; Bacillati; Actinomycetota; Actinomycetes; Actinomycetales
Description: partial 16S ribosomal RNA
Rfam family: Bacterial small subunit ribosomal RNA
Source: RNAcentral
UGCUCGGGUGGCGAACGGGUGAGUAACACGUGAGUAACCUGCCCUUGACUUUGGGAUAACUUCAGGAAACUGGGGCUAAUACCGGAUAGGAGCUCCUGCUGCAUGGUGGGGGUUGGAAAGUUUCGGCGGUUGGGGAUGGACUCGCGGCUCAUCAGCUUGUUGGUGGGGUAGUGGCUUACCAAGGCUUUGACGGGUAGCCGGCCUGAGAGGGUGACCGGCCACAUUGGGACUGAGAUACGGCCCAG